CGGCGGACGGGUGAGUAACGCGUGGGUAACCGUGCCUCAUACAGGGGGAUAACAGUUGGAAACGGCUGCUAAUACCGCAUAAGCGCACAGUACCGCAUGGUACGGUGUGAAAAACUCCGGUGGUAUGAGAUGGACCCGCGUCUGAUUAGGUAGUUGGUGGGGUAACGGCCUACCAAGCCGACGAUCAGUAGCCGACCUGAGAGGGUGACCGGCCACACUGGGACUGAGACACGGCCCAA
Molecule: ribosomal RNA, 239 nt
Filed under: uncultured bacterium
Lineage: Bacteria
Description: partial 16S ribosomal RNA
Rfam family: Bacterial small subunit ribosomal RNA
Source: RNAcentral